Molecule: ribosomal RNA, 192 nt
Filed under: uncultured bacterium
Lineage: Bacteria
Description: partial 16S ribosomal RNA
Rfam family: Bacterial small subunit ribosomal RNA
Source: RNAcentral
UACGGGAGGCAGCAGUAGGGAAUCUUCCACAAUGGACGCAAGUCUGAUGGAGCAACGCCGCGUGAGUGAAGAAGGGUUUCGGCUCGUAAAGCUCUGUUGUUGGUGAAGAAGGACAGAGGUAGUAACUGACCUUUGUUUGACGGUAAUCAAUUAGAAAGUCACGGCUAACUACGUGCCAGCAGCCGCGGUAAU